ACAGCAGCAGCCACGGUAAUACGGAGGGUGCAAGCGUUAAUCGGAAUUACUGGGCGUAAAGCGCACGCAGGCGGUCUGACAAGUCAGAUGUGAAAUCCCCGGGCUUAACCUGGGAACUGCAUUUGAAACUGUCAGGCUGGAGUCUUGUAGAGGGGGGUGGAAUUCCAGGUGUAGCGGUGAAAUGCGUAGAGAUCUGGAGGAAUACCGGUGGCGAAGGCGGCCCCCUGGACAAAGACUGACGCUCAGGUGCGAAAGCGUGGGGAGCAAACAGGAUUAGAUACCCCAGUAGUCCCUGUCUCUUAUAC
This 305-nucleotide ribosomal RNA is filed under the name uncultured bacterium. RNAcentral's name for it is "partial 16S ribosomal RNA". It matches the Rfam family "Bacterial small subunit ribosomal RNA", at positions 506 to 807 of the family's 1533-position model. The record is from RNAcentral.